Molecule: ribosomal RNA, 253 nt
Filed under: uncultured bacterium
Lineage: Bacteria
Description: partial 16S ribosomal RNA
Rfam family: Bacterial small subunit ribosomal RNA
Source: RNAcentral
UACAGAGGUCUCAAGCGUUGUUCGGAUUCAUUGGGCGUAAAGGGUGCGUAGGCGGCGCGGUAAGUCGGGGGUGAAAUCUCGGAGCUUAACUUCGAAACUGCAUUCGAUACUGCCGUGCUUGAGGACUGGAGAGGAGACUGGAAUUUACGGUGUAGCGGUGAAAUGCGUAGAUAUCGUAAGGAAGACCAGUGGCGAAGGCGGGUCUCUGGACAGUUCCUGACGCUGAGGCACGAAGGUCAGGGGAGCAAACGGG